Camellia sinensis is the source of this 3139-nucleotide non-coding RNA. The record is from RefSeq and is a predicted model, not a curated record. NCBI's taxonomy places the organism in Eukaryota, Viridiplantae, Streptophyta, Magnoliopsida, Ericales, Theaceae.
CUCUCUCUCUCUCUCUCUCUCUCUCUAUAUAUAUAUAUAUAUAUAUACUUUCCCCAAUUACUCGAAUUGAGUCGCUGUACAUUUCUCUCUUGUUUCAUUUUAACCUUCAAAAAGCAGAAUCACUGUAUCUAUGGAAUCUCUCAUCAUAUGACUCGUGUGGUUCGUCCGUUUCUCUUCCUCCACUGAAGUUGAAGUGGGGGCUUCUUUCAUCUACCCUUUUUAGGGUCAAUCUCUUUUUAUCCUCGACACCGUUUUCUAGGGUUUCAGAAGUCAAAUUGAUGAUAUUUCGUGGACUUCAAACAUCGCGCUAUUCACUUCCUUACAGGAUCUCUAUGGGUUUCGGGUAAACGAGAUUUUCAACACCCAACUUGAAAUCACAAAGAAAAACACGGCAAAUUGUUUUCUGGGUACAGCUCAAAAUUUUUAACCUGUCACUGCCGUUAGAUUCUGGUUUCUUUGCUUCAUCACGAUGGAGGAUGGAGAGAUAGAUUUUUCAAACCAAGAGUGGCAUUGGUCAUGAUGGCAGCGGCAAUGGUACUGGUGGUGGUGGGGUGGUGAAGGUGGGAUCGGCAAUGGUGGUGGCAGCGAUAGCAACAAUGGAGGUAGGGUGGUGGAGGUGCUCGAAAGAGCUCGAACUUUCUCAUCCAACCCUUCUAGGGUUUUUCGAAUGGCCACCGCGCCUCCUUCUUCAUCCUCUAAUGGCGAUUCAUCCUCGGUCCCCGCUUCUUCUGCCAUCGAUUUUCUCUCUCUCUCUGUCACCGUCUCAAGGUUUGAUCAGACGACGAAGAGAACGGGAUGGAUGCGAAGGUGUUGAGAAUCCAGAGUCCAUAGCCGAUCAUAUGUAUCGAAUGGGGUUGAUGGCUCUCAUUGCCUCUGACAGACUUCUCUCUAACAUCUCUAUAUAUGGUACUACGAAUAUGUAUGUAUAGAUGAAGUGUAGAGAUGCAAAGUUGGGAAUAAAUUUGCAGCUCAUGUGUUUCUCCUCUCUAACAGGGCAUGGUUUUAUGGAGCCUAUGAUUAUUAAAGAAUGAAGAAGUUUUCAACAAGAAGCUGAUCCCCUGGAUUGAUUUACUGGAGAUAAUUGGUGUGGUGAUUGCAGUAGGAGAGUGUCUUCCAUUGCCAGAAGAGAACCCCUUGGGAAGAGGAGACUUGGUUUGCCAAAAAACAAAAAAACCGGUGCCAUUUUUAGGAGCAGCAAGGAAAGUGUCACAACAGUGACCCAUUCUCCUCCUGCUAUAUCUACACACAAAAUGAAUCAUUUAUAGUGACUAAAAAUUGGUCAUCAAAGGAUAUCCAGAGUCCAAGUUAGGGUUUCUGUUGCUUUUAGUUUUUUUUGUGUUCCAUCUGGGUUAUUUGUUAUUGUUGCAUUUUCUAAAGAUUUUAACAUUUUUUGCUUCUUUUUUUUUUUUUUUUCCAAACGUCAGGUGUAUAAAAAUGGCAAUUGUCCAUGAUAUUGCAGAAGGUAAUAGCUUUGCAUUUAAAUUUUUAUUUAUCUAUUAGUUCUCAUAUGUAUCCUUUGGUUGAUAAAGUAUGCUUCAUAAAAGAAAAAGGGUUAAUUACACUUUUAUCUCCUUCACUAUCACCAUUGUUUUUUAGUUUGUCCGUAAACUAUCAUGAUUUGAGCUCAUUUGUCCGUAAACUAUCACCAUUUUUUUUCCCUUUUAGGCUGCUUAAAAUUCAGACAUUUUUAUGCUUUUUAUUUAUCAGCAUGAGGCUGUGAGUUGUGGGUUCCUCAACCUUGAGGUUGUGGUUUCGAGGACAACCAUUUAGUGCAAAUAAUGCCAAAGCUAGGUAACCCAAUCUAUCUCCUCCCAGACCCCUAUCCAACGGAGACUAAAUUGGGCUUACUUUUUUUAAAAUUUAUUUAUAACCAUGAAAAAGAUCACUCUUUGUGGAGUCAAUGCAAUGCAUAACAACUUUCAAAAGGUUGCCAGGAAUCUUAAUAGAUGCAGAACAUGGAUGCAUGGUCAAUGAAUGAUGUAGUUCUGCUGGAGUUGGAUGCUUAAUCCAUUUUUGUGUGUGUGUGUGUGUGUUUGGAAAAUGUGAUGGGCAUUUGCUUCUUAUUCAGAUUUAUCAGAUUUCUGCUUUGAGAUUUAGAAUCCUUCAGUCCUAUUUACAGCAGUUGGAUUGUGAAGUACCUGGUCAAUUUUAGUCCCAUUUUAUCUUUAUUCCCUAACGUAGUAAACACAACCAUUACUAGAUUUUGUAAAUUUUACGUGCUCUGUUAUUACUAGGGAGCGAAUGAAAAAGAUUUUACUCUGGUUUUAGUUGUUCCUAGCAAAGUUAUUUCUUAUGAUCUCAACUCCAAGACAUUGAAGGAGCUUCGAGAUUGUUCGCCAGAGGAUCUUGAAAAUUGGGAAGCAUCUUGGUGAUAUGUAUCCAUUCAUUUAAAGCCUAUCACCUGUUUGAUCAAUGUCCUACAUUUUUCAGCAGAUAAGUCCCUCAAUAAACUCUUCUAAAUUUCUAUCUUCUUAAAAGUUUUAGUUAGUUUCCUGGUAUGUGAUGCUACUACUAUUAUCUUUUAAUUUAUAGAUUCUGUUUUAAGCUUGCAUUAGAAAUAAAUUCUUCAUUGAUCAAUUAAGGCUGAAAUACAAUUGAUGUGUAUAGUUCAUUUCACAAUUUACUUCCCUUGCUUCUAGAGGCUAGAGAGCAUCAACUUGAUUAUCACUUUUGAAAGUGCUUUAUGUUAGAGCCCUAUUUUGACCUCUAUUAUACAUUAACUCAAGUAUCACUUAGAUUGUUCUGAUUGCCAAAGAGAUUAUGUUGGACUCAUUCACUCCAUGGUCAGUAGCCAAACUAUAGAGGGAUUGGUGGAAGCCACGAUGCUGCCCAUUUUCUAUCUAAAUCUCUCAUAUACAGAGAAAUUAUCAGUUCAUGUAAAGAUGACGGAGGCAUUGGAAUUUGGUGAGGAGAAUAGUUCUAAAGGCUCUAUGAAUAGAGGGAAUGAAAGGUGAAAGGAGAUUGAUCGAAUGAUCAAACUUUUGGUUUGGGAAAAAGUUCCCCUCUGCUAAACUUUUGACUGGGAUUGUGGUUUGAAGAUUUUUGAAACGGACGCUCCUUGCAUUGUGGUGCCAUAGAUAUCCAUGAAAGGUUAUCAAAUAAAGAACCUUUUUCUUGGUCAAUAAAUCUCUCUUUUCCA